UAAUCGCGCAUCAGCCAUGGCGCGGUGAAUACGUUCCCGGGUCUUGUACACACCGCCCGUCACACCAUGGGAGUCGGAAAUGCCCGAAGUCUGUGACCCAACCUUAGGAAGGGAGCAGCCGAAGGCAGGUCGGAUGACUGGGGUGAAGUCGUAACAAGGUAUC
Molecule: ribosomal RNA, 163 nt
Filed under: uncultured bacterium
Lineage: Bacteria
Description: partial 16S ribosomal RNA
Rfam family: Bacterial small subunit ribosomal RNA
Source: RNAcentral